GUGUCAGCCGCCGCGGUAAUACGUAGGGUGCGAGCGUUAAUCGGAAUUACUGGGCGUAAAGCGUGCGCAGGCGGUUUUGUAAGACAGGUGUGAAAUCCCCGGGCUUAACCUGGGAAUGGCGCUUGUGACUGCAAGACUCGAGUGCGGCAGAGGGGGGUGGAAUUCCACGUGUAGCAGUGAAAUGCGUAGAGAUGUGGAGGAACACCGAUGGCGAAGGCAGCCCCCUGGGUCGACACUGACGCUCAUGCACGAAAGCGUGGGGAGCAAACAGGAUUAGAUACCCUUGUAGUCC
This 292-nucleotide ribosomal RNA is filed under the name uncultured bacterium. RNAcentral describes it as "partial 16S ribosomal RNA". It matches the Rfam family "Bacterial small subunit ribosomal RNA", at positions 505 to 796 of the family's 1533-position model. The record is from RNAcentral.